RNA transcript from Aplysia californica (California sea hare), 1118 nucleotides. RefSeq lists it as uncharacterized. The record is from RefSeq and is a predicted model, not a curated record. The transcript is spliced from 4 exons. NCBI's taxonomy places the organism in Eukaryota, Metazoa, Mollusca, Gastropoda, Aplysiida, Aplysiidae.
GAGAGGGGGGGAGGGAGAGAGAGAGAGAGAGAGAGAGAUGUAUUACAUAACCUCUUUUUUCUAUGUAGAUCGACAGAGAGGCCAACGCCUACACAGAAUAGAAGAGGAGAUUGUGAGGCGAAAACACGAGCGACGACCCCUGGAGUUAUAUAUUCCUGCUGGCGACCAAGGUCACACAUGUGAAACGGAACGAGACGGUACGCAGCCAAUGACGUGUCCCAGCGCCUCAAACGUCUGCCUAUACGACAGUAUGAUCUGUGACGGAAGCAACGACUGCCCGGGCGGCGAGGACGAGACCUUCCCGCUCUGUGUACUACGUCACUGGGUGGAUUCCUGAAUGCCUUGUUGUUGCCGACAUUCCGCUGGCUCCGGCAUUUCCACGCCAUGUUCGGGACUCCCAGGUCAUGAAGGAACUCCCAGAAUUCAGCGGGAACAAGGGUCACAGAGACUGUGGACUUCCGCCUAGCCCCUGGCGGGCGACGCAGACGACAACGCGGGAGUACGCAGUGAAAGAUGAUGACGUCAAAAUGCUCUAUGAGUGUUCUUGAGGCCAAGAAAGAGACAACCACACUGGAAACGCGUUAAGAAAUUGACAACAAUAUACUAUAUUUAUCAUAAUUAAUAUAACAGUAUACUAUAAUUCUCAUCAUUUAUUAAUAUCUAAACCUUUCUCAAAACCACUGUAUGAGACUGAAAGUGAGCCAAUACGAUUUUGACUUGUCUGUGUGCAUAUUGUAUCAUCCUUGUGCCGCGACUUUCGCUGUGACCAUAUCAUUGACUUGUUUUGGCAGAUGUUUACAGUUACAAUGUUGUGUGAGUAAUGAAUGAAUUGAUUGAUUGUAUCCUGAGCGCGUGAGCCGUGAGGGAGGUGUUGCGAUACUAACAACAUGUGAAUUAAAUCAAACCAUGGCGUGACUGACUAUCGUUGGAGCGUGCUUGUCUGUGUUUACUAUCUAGUCGGCAAACUGUUCAAAUGUACUAAUAUCGGAAGGCAAAAUUUGUUCAAGGGAAAAAAAAGAUUACUCUUUCAUUUCGUUAAUAAUUAAUUGUACCUACAUAUUAUAUUUCUUCUUUUUUUUCUUCUUUUUUUACACAAUUAAAUUUGAGUUUCAACAAAA